This 253-nucleotide ribosomal RNA is filed under the name uncultured bacterium. RNAcentral describes it as "partial 16S ribosomal RNA". It matches the Rfam family "Bacterial small subunit ribosomal RNA", at positions 524 to 776 of the family's 1533-position model. The record is from RNAcentral.
UACGAAGGGGGCUAGCGUUGCUCGGAAUUACUGGGCGUAAAGCGCACGUAGGCGGUCUUUUAAGUCGGGGGUGAAAUCCUGGAGCUCAACUCCAGAACUGCCUUCGAUACUGGAAGACUCGAGUCCGGGAGAGGUGAGUGGAACUGCGAGUGUAGAGGUGAAAUUCGUAGAUAUUCGCAAGAACACCAGUGGCGAAGGCGGCUCACUGGCCCGGUACUGACGCUGAGGUGCGAAAGCGUGGGGAGCGAACAGA